This 487-nucleotide unclassified non-coding RNA is filed under the name Cyperus kernii. RNAcentral's name for it is "partial contains ETS1f and partial 18S rRNA gene, ETS1f, and partial 18S rRNA gene". Lineage: Eukaryota; Viridiplantae; Streptophyta; Magnoliopsida; Poales; Cyperaceae. The record is from RNAcentral.
UCUGACAUCGCAUGGCAGGCUCCCCGCACGUACGUGCGGCCAACUGUCAUGGGGCUGUUUUCAGUGUCCUUGUUUAUCAAUUUUGGUUGCUUGGGGUGCCUUGGAUUUGGUUGCCUGUGCGGUUACGUCGUUGGUAGCACAAUUGUCCCGCUGUUUUGUAUUUCGUAGCUCCGUUGAUGCAUACAUCGAUGGGCGGGAGGUGUUGGCAAAUUCCAUGGCUGCGAUGCACUUGUGGUCGGAAGCUUAUCGGAUGUUUGCCGGGUCUCASGGAUAUCAGUCCSUACGUUGAGUGGUCUGCGGGUUCAAGCCUGCAGGCUCACGGUGUUGCCCAUACAAACAGAUUUGUUGCCGAUGGAUGUUUCCUCGACACGUCGCGUUCUUUCGGGAUUCAUGUUGAGGGAUUCACUCGGCACGUGUUUGUGUGUAUGUGCAUAUCCUUUACCGACCCUAAUGAUAUGCGGUUGCCGAUUUGCAUCGUCAUGGCACC